UGGCACAAUGGUUGAGUGCUUGGCUACUAACCAAAAGGUUGGUGGUUCAAAGCCACC
This 57-nucleotide transfer RNA is filed under the name Loxodonta africana (African savanna elephant). Lineage: Eukaryota; Metazoa; Chordata; Mammalia; Proboscidea; Elephantidae. The record is from Rfam by way of RNAcentral.